ACUAAUUGCUCAUUUUCUUGUUUCCUUGUGGACUCAUUCUUCAUGUUUGCUUCAAUAAACAACAGAAGAUGAAGCAAAUCAGUGAGGACAGAACGUGUCCCCUCUGCACUUUCUCCAUGUAGAAAAGAUGAUUUCCCACGUUCUUUCCCUAUGCCUGUAACUGAGCGUUUUGUAUCAUAACUGCACUUGAUUUUCUAAGACAGAAGCUGUUAUGGCAAGACACUGAUCUCAUUCUUCCUCCAGAACGGUGAAAUUUGAAGCACAAAUAGGCCUUCUGCUAUUUGGGCAGAUACAAUAUGUACAAUGCAAGAUAUAUAAAAUGUGAGUAUACACAAUGCAUAUACAGUGUACAUUCUGAGAUCCAUAUUAUUAGUGUGUAUAUAUAUAAUGUAUUGUAUAAUGUAAUAAUAGUGUGUGUAUAUACUAUACAUGCCCACCUACUAUGCCUAGUAUAUAGUUACUUGUACUGUACAUAAGAUGUGUAUAUACAACAGAUAUGU
Molecule: long non-coding RNA, 500 nt
Organism: Gallus gallus (chicken)
Lineage: Eukaryota; Metazoa; Chordata; Aves; Galliformes; Phasianidae
Source: Ensembl